This 253-nucleotide ribosomal RNA is filed under the name uncultured bacterium. RNAcentral describes it as "partial 16S ribosomal RNA". It matches the Rfam family "Bacterial small subunit ribosomal RNA", at positions 524 to 776 of the family's 1533-position model. The record is from RNAcentral.
UACGUAGGUUGCGAGCGUUAUUCGGAUUUACUGGGCGUAAAGAGCACCGAGGUGGCUUCUUAAGUUGGAUGUAAAAUCUCCUGGCUUAACUGGGAGGCGCCAUUCAAAACUGAGGAGCUUGAGGUCAGCAGGGGAAGGUGGAAUUCCCGGUGUAGUGGUGGAAUGCGUAGAGAUCGGGAGGAACACCAGUGGCGAAAGCGACCUUCUGGGCUGCACCUGACACUCUAGUGCGAAAGCGUGGGGAGCGAACAGG